UAGGGAAUCUUCCGCAAUGGACGCAAGUCUGACGGAGCAACGCCGCGUGAGUGAAGAAGGAUUUCGGUUCGUAAAACUCUGUUGUUAGAGAAGAACAGCGCAUAGAGUAACUGUUAUGCGUGUGACGGUAUCUAACCAGAAAGCCACGGCUAACUACGUGCCAGCAGCCGCGGUAAUACGUAGGUGGCAAGCGUUGUCCGGAUUUAUUGGGCGUAAAGCGAGCGCAGGCGGUCAAUUAAGUCUGAUGGGAAAGCCCCCGGCUCAACCGGGGAGGGUCAUUGGAAACUGGUUGACUUGAGUGCAGAAGAGGAGAGUGGAAUUCCAGGUGUAGCGGUGAAAUGCGUAGAUAUAUGGAGGAACACCAGUGGCGAAGGCGACUCUCUGGUCUGUAACUGACGCUGAGGCUCGAAAGCGUGGGGAGCGAACAGG
Molecule: ribosomal RNA, 429 nt
Filed under: Bacteroidota bacterium
Lineage: Bacteria; Pseudomonadati; Bacteroidota
Description: Bacteroidetes bacterium partial 16S ribosomal RNA
Rfam family: Bacterial small subunit ribosomal RNA
Source: RNAcentral